AUGGACGACUUCAGGAACACUACGGAGCGUCUCUUUAUAGAUGCUGAUGGUAAUACCAAGCUCGAUGUGUUGUACACCAAUGAGCCCCACAAGGUGGAGGAGAUUCUUACUCUCUAUGAGGAAUGGCUGCGUGAGGACAGGUACAAGUUUGUUGGUCUUGAUGUGGAGUACACACGAGAGGAUUAUUUUGAUCGUAGUAGAAAAGUUGCCAUUAUGCAACUGGCGAUGCGCAAGCAUGUUCUUGUUUAUCACUUGUGCAAGGCCAGGACGGAGUGCGCUGCUCUGAAGGAUUUCCUUUGGAACAAAGGUAUAAUUUUUGCUAGUGUCGACGUCAGGAACGAUAGGGAUGUUCUCGCAAAUAGUUACCUCAAAAUCCCAAGAGAGUGUCACAUCGACCUUCAAGAGGAGCUCAUGAUCAAAGGAGGCAAUCUAAGGGAUUCAAUGGCAGAUUUGGCAGGAGCCGUCAUAAACAAAUCUUACUUGAGUAUGAAGUCGUCUUUUCCACAAGGUCUGCAUGACUACUGGGAAUGGAAGCCGCUUUCCCUUGAACACCUAAAAUAUGCGGCAACUGAUGGGACCGUGCCUCUAGAAGCCCGCAUCCAUGUCUGUGGAGGCUUCACUUCCGUGGCUUCUUUUCCGCAAUUCAUGGUCUUAGGAAUCUCCAUUGGCACCUUGCUGCUCGUUGCCAUGGACGACUUUUUGAACACCACCAAGUACCAUCCUAUAGUUGUCGAUGGUAACACGAAGCUCAACGUGUGGUACACCAACGAGCCUGGCAAGGUGGAGGAGAUCAUUGGCUUGUACGAGGACUGGUUGCGCGAGGAGAAGCACAAGUUUGUUGGUCUCGGCCUGGAGUUCACGGCCAGGACGGAGUGCCCUGCCCUGAAGGAUUUCCUUGAGAAUAGAGGUAUAACUUUCUCUAGUGUGGGCGUCAGGAAUAUUCGAGAUGCUCUUUUUCAAGAUUUCAUCAGAAUUCCAGAAGGGUACCACAUCGACAUCCAAGAGAAGUUUAUGAUCAAAGGCGGCGAAGAAAGGGACUCCAUGGAGGACUUAGCAGGAGCCAUAAUUGACGAAUCUUAUUCGAAGCUGGAGUCAUCUUUUCCAGAACUUCUUUGUCACUACUGGGAUUGGAAGCCACUUACUUUUGAUCACCUGAAAUAUGGAGCUACUAAGGUGAACAGUAGGUUUGACAUGAAAGGAGGCCAUGGUGUGAGGAUAGUUGUUGUAAGCAGAAUGAUGGUGCAGCAACCAGUGGAGCAUCACGAGUGGAUGGAAUUGCUUUUCCCGUGUCCAAUGUUCAGGAGUGCGUCAUCUGGUCAGGACAACAGGGACGGUCGGUCUUUGAAUGACAUCGGCAAGGAUUAUGGGAGGCAGGUGUACGAGGAAGGAAGCAAGUAUCGCGGUAGUCCACGAAUCGAUGAAAACAUAAGGCAAGGUCCUAUGAAAGUAUCACCCGUGGCGUUCAACAUGAGGGGUCCUUCCAAAGGAUCUCCGAUGGCAUUCAAAAUCGUCAGCGAAGUCACCAAUGCACGGAGGUUGUCGCCAAGAUUUGCUGGACAAGAGAGGCAUGGGAAAACAAAGGAUUUGGUGGAGGGAAUAACAGAUGAGGGAAAGAAAUAUCAUAGUUCUCCAUCCAUUUCGAAGGAAACGCAACGUUCACAGCAGCAAGUAGCGUACAGCGCCAGCACAGAUUGCAUGGUAGAAGCAGCACAGUCCCUUGGUUGCACGAGUGCUGGAGAAACAGGGAGCAACAUUGCACAAUACAACAUUGGAGAGGCAGACUCAUUUAUGGAUUUGGCCGUGCCAUGCAGAAACGACGCUGCUGCGUGUGACAAACAACAGAGCAGCAACAGCUCUGCUAUAAGUGGACCUGUGGCUGGCGAUGAGACUGAUGUCGUCAGAAGUGAAUGCGAUCAGACGAACGAAGACACGGUAGACAGAAUCAUCAUGGGGCCGCCAACCAUUGUAGAGAAAGAAAUGGACGACAUGUUUAAAGAAGGCAUAUACCCAACGAUUCAGGAGGUCACCGAAGCGCUCGAACCAGAGGGUGGUAUGGUAUUCGGAUCAUUGGAUGAGUGCUUUUUGUUUUUCUGCAGAUAUGCUAGAAAGGUUGGCUUUGCUGCCAAGCGAUCAACGAGCAGAAGAUCGACAUAUGAUCAGCAGCUUGACAAGCAGGUGUUUCAGUGCACCAAGGAAGGGCAUAAUAAAACAACUGAGAGACAUGUUAAGGAGAGAAGGAGCAACUGCUUGAUCCGGACAAGCUGCCCAGUCCAAAUAACAGCCAAGAGGGAUACAGAUAAGAGGAAAUGGUACCUGAAGAACGUUCGUCUAGAGCACAACCACCAGCUUCACCCAUCUGAUUGGAUGCUGAAGUUCAUGAGAUGCUAUAAGAAGAUGACACCUCAGGAGAAAUUCUUUAUACAAGUGCUGCAGAAGGCGAGGUUAGAACCAAGGAAGGUUAUGCAGAUUUUUACUGCCAUGGGGAAACCGAGGCGAAAAAUUAUGUUCGACAUGAUUGACAUAAGCAACAUUGCAUGCCUGGACAAGGCUGGAAAGCGCGGCACUGAUAUUGCAGACACCAUGAAAAUGUUUGCUGAUAUGCAGAGGCGGAGGCCGGGAUUCCACCAUGUGGAAGAGACAGAGAACAAUGUAGUGCGCAGCUUGUUCUGGACAGAUUCCUUGUGUAAGAUGAAUUAUGAUCUAUAUGGAGAUUUCGUGUCUUUUGACACCACAUUCUCUACGAAUAUAUAUGGCUUGCCAUUUGCACCAAUUAUAGGUGUCGACAACCAUGGGUCGACCGUCCUGUUUGGAGUAGGCCUUUUGAAGGAUGAGAAAAUAGGGUCAUUCAAGUGGCUCCUAAGCACGAUUGUCGAGGCAAUGGGAGGCAUGAUCGAUCAACUUCCAAAAUCCUUUGUCAUCCCCAGAUGGACCAGGAAUCUAUCAGAGAGUCUGAAAGUUCUGUCUACAAGUCAAGGUGAUAGCAUGACCAUACAAGACGAUGAAACUAUGAGAUUCGGCCUCCCUUACGCUGAGUUGUCGGACAUCUGUUCAAAUGCUUGCAGAAAAGAGAAGGCAUACCGUGUAAUGCGUGAGUGUACGGUAGAUAUGAAAAUAAAAGUCAUGGCGGCACUUGCCGAGGAACCAGACGCAGGCAUUCUUGCCGAAACUCUCAAGAACCCUCCCAUGAGUGGCUCAAAGGGUACGAAAAAAGGAGAUCGAAUCAAAGCUGGUUCUGAGAAGAAAGGAAAAGGCAACAAAGCCGCAUCCAAGUGCGGCCGUUGUGGAGUAAAGGGUCACAGGAAAACAAACUACCCGGAUAACCCAGAAGUCCAGGAGAGGAUGAGGAUUGAAGAGGAAAAGAGGAAAUCGCAGCAGGAGAAGAGCGCAAGUCUUCCAGAAUCCAUUCUGUCCGGCCAUGCUGGCUUGGUUAGCCGCCUCUCUAUUCCGGCGUGCUACCUACAGUGCAGGCCCUCCACCGUUGAUGCCUGGCUCCGAUCCUGGAAGUUGAACAAUAUCCAGGUUCUUGAGUUCUACUACCUCUUCCCAGAAUUUCUGACACAAGAGAGUCAGGACUUGGAGGUAACUGCUGUCUCCGCGUCUGAACCGUAUCCAUGUCGUCUCACGUGUCUUGAGACCUUGCUUAUCUACAUGUAUUAUAAGGUGGACACCGUCAUUGAAUUGCUGCAAUGCUUUCCAAAACUGGAGAACUUGUUUGUCGAGGUAGAGCGGUGCUUCUCGGAUGUACCUGCCGUACACACUGAGGAGCUGCAGUUGAGCCUUGCACUGAUGGAGCUGCAUUUGAGCCGCUGCACUGUUUCUGGUCCUCGUACUGUGGUUAUAAAAAAUGGCUUCCCUUUUGUUUAUGAAGUUGGAUGGUGUAACAAUACAACCAUGCGUCUCUGCUGCGACAUAGGAGAGAUGAAAAGAGCUGAAAGCAUAGAGAGCCACCACAACGGUGAACCAAACCUGUUUUGCGGGGCGUUACGUAGUGCUUCUGGUUACCGCACAACCGAACCCUCUACAGUUGACGCCUGGCUUCGAUCCCCAAGACUAAAGAAUCUCCAGGUUCUCGAGUUCUAUUACAUGUUCCCAGGUUUUGUGGGAAAAACCAUCACACUACCACAUGAAAUCUCUUUGUCCGCGCCCUCACCGCCGACUUCCACGCUGCUGUUUUCCUCCUCAUUGCACACCGUCACAUUUGCUCUUUGCCAGAUACCUGAUAAGUAUGCACGAUCAUUUAAACUUCCACUCCUCAAGAGGCUUUCAUUUUUGGAAGUUGAUAUAUCAGAUGUCUCACUGCAAAGCAUAAUCAGCCAUGGUUGCCCUGCCCUCGAGUGGCUCCUGCUUGUUUGCAAUAACAUGGACCACUGCAUCAUAAUAAACUCAGGCAAAGUUGAAGUCAUCUGAUUUCCUGAAUCCAAGAUUGUUUUUGGCUCUACAGUUAUCGAGCCUAUCAAUGGUGGUUCAAUCUGUGAAGACCCUGCUUAUCCAGAUGUCAUUAAAUCUGAACAAGAGCAAGAGCGAGACGGUGAGAGAUCGGCCAUGGAGGCGAUUCAGUCGACCACCGUACGUCUUAUCGAGGUGGUCAGGGAGAGCAACCCGCAGCCCAACGCGCUGCAGCGCCUCCAGGGGUUGCUGAUGUCCGCCACGGCGCGUUCCUUCUUCGACGCCAGCUUCGCCUCCUGGCUCAAGGGUGCACUGGAAGACUUCAUUCACAAGUUCAGCUUCACCAACAGCAAGCACGGCACUUCCUCUGUGUAUGUCCAUGACCCUGUGGUGAACGUUUGGGUGGAAACAUGGUGCACAACCUAG
RNAcentral lists this ribosomal RNA (4812 nucleotides) under Triticum aestivum (bread wheat). Its description in RNAcentral is "partial small subunit ribosomal RNA". The record is from RNAcentral. Lineage: Eukaryota; Viridiplantae; Streptophyta; Magnoliopsida; Poales; Poaceae.